This 202-nucleotide long non-coding RNA is filed under the name Mytilus galloprovincialis (Mediterranean mussel). Lineage: Eukaryota; Metazoa; Mollusca; Bivalvia; Mytilida; Mytilidae. The record is from RNAcentral.
AUUACAGCACUUUUUUCAUCAUGCUUGAAGAUAUUGAUUUGCAAAUUUAAAAUUCAAGAGUCUAUCCUAAAUUGAGGAAAAUUAUAUGGCCUUCCAAAUUCUUUUCGAUCCCUAACAUCUCUGAAGAGACAUUAAUUGUCAAAAUCCAGAUAUGGUGUACAAAUUUUAGCACCUCAUGUUUGUGGUUUACCAUCUUUGCCGC